RNAcentral lists this transfer RNA (78 nucleotides) under Burkholderia contaminans. RNAcentral's name for it is "tRNA-Cys". Lineage: Bacteria; Pseudomonadati; Pseudomonadota; Betaproteobacteria; Burkholderiales; Burkholderiaceae. The record is from RNAcentral.
CACUGCGUUGCGCACGCCGUUGUCCGACGGCUGCUGCAACCGGGCGAAUACGUGCGGUGCGAAUGCGCGCGCGGCGGC